AGGAAUUUCAAGAUCAAAAACAAAACGAGUAUCGCUCAUUUUUCGUAAGGAAUCAUAAUAUGCAGAGUAUCGCAGCAAAAGGCGAAUCGAUUAUAUGUAUGAAGAAAUAUAACCGUGAGUACAUUGCUUAAAUUCAAAAGAAAAUCAAAGUAUAUCACUCAUCAAGACUUUAUCGUCAAAAAGGAAAUACGAUAAAGUAAAUACAUCCUCC
This 211-nucleotide long non-coding RNA is filed under the name Salvia miltiorrhiza (redroot sage). RNAcentral's name for it is "long non-coding RNA (SMIL_LNC003246)". The record is from RNAcentral. Lineage: Eukaryota; Viridiplantae; Streptophyta; Magnoliopsida; Lamiales; Lamiaceae.